This 550-nucleotide ribosomal RNA is filed under the name uncultured bacterium. Its description in RNAcentral is "bacterial SSU rRNA". It matches the Rfam family "Bacterial small subunit ribosomal RNA", at positions 355 to 896 of the family's 1533-position model. The record is from RNAcentral.
UAGGGAAUCUUCGGCAAUGGGGGCAACCCUGACCGAGCAACGCCGCGUGAGUGAAGAAGGUUUUUGGAUCGUAAAGCUCUGUUGUAAGUCAAGAACGAGUGUGAGAGUGGAAAGUUCACACUGUGACGGUAGCUUACCAGAAAGGGACGGCUAACUACGUGCCAGCAGCCGCGGUAAUACGUAGGUCCCGAGCGUUGUCCGGAUUUAUUGGGCGUAAAGCGAGCGCAGGCGGUUUGAUAAGUCUGAAGUUAAAGGCUGUGGCUCAACCAUAGUUCGCUUUGGAAACUGUCAAACUUGAGUGCAGAAGGGGAGAGUGGAAUUCCAUGUGUAGCGGUGAAAUNGUAGAAUAUAUGGAGGAACACCGGUGGCGAAAGCGGCUCUCUGGUCUGUAACUGACGCUGAGGCUCGAAAGCGUGGGGAGCGAACAGGAUUAGAUACCCUGGUAGUCCACGCCGUAAACGAUGAGUGCUAGGUGUUGGAGGGUUUCCGCCCUUCAGUGCCGGAGCUAACGCAUUAAGCACUCCGCCUGGGGAGUACGACCGCAAGGUUG